GGAUCAUUAAAGAGUUCUAUAACUCCCAAACCCAUGUGAACAUACCAUACGUUGCCUCGGCAGGUCGCGCCUACCCCGUAGCGUCCUACCCGGUAGACGCGGGUAAGCCUGCCGGCGGCCCAAGAAACUCUGUUUAGUAUUGAAUUCUGAACCUAUAACUAAAUAAGUUAAAACUUUCAACAACGGAUCUCUUGGUUCUGGCAUCGAUGAAGAACGCAGCGAAAUGCGAUAAGUAAUGUGAAUUGCAGAAUUCAGUGAAUCAUCGAAUCUUUGAACGCACAUUGCGCCCAUUAGUAUUCUAGUGGGCAUGCCUGUUCGAGCGUCAUUUCAACCCUUAAGCCCUCGUUGCUUAGUGUUGGGAGCCUACGGUACCCGUAGCUCCUCAAAGUUAGUGGCGGAGUCGGUUCACACUCUAGACGUAGUAAUUUUAUCUCGCCUAUCAGUUGGACCGGUCCCCUGCCGUAAAACACCCCCAAUUUCUAAAGGUUGACCUCGGAUCAGGUAGGAAUACCCGCUGAACUUAAGCAUAUCAAUAAGCGGAGGAAAAGAAACCAACAGGGAUUGCCCUAGUAACGGCGAGUGAAGCGGCAACAGCUCAAAUUUGAAAUCUGGCCUUCGGGUCCGAGUUGUAAUUUGUAGAGGAUGCUUUUGGCGCGGUGCCUUCCGAGUUCCCUGGAACGGGACGCCUUAGAGGGUGAGAGCCCCGUACGGUUGGACACCAAGCCUCUGUAUAGCUCCUUCGACGAGUCGAGUAGUUUGGGAAUGCUGCUCUAAAUGGGAGGUAAAUUUCUUCUAAAGCUAAAUAUUGGCCAGAGACCGAUAGCGCACAAGUAGAGUGAUCGAAAGAUGAAAAGCACUUUGAAAAGAGGGUUAAAUAGCACGUGAAAUUGUUGAAAGGGAAGCGUUUGCGACCAGACCUUUUCCUAGCGGAUCAUCCGGUGUUCUCACCGGUGCACUUCGCUAGGUUUAGGCCAGCAUCGGUUUCUGUAGGGGGAUAAAAGCUCUGGGAACGUAGCUCCUUCGGGAGUGUUAUAGCCCUCUGCAUAAUACCCUUACGGGGACCGAGGACCGC
Molecule: ribosomal RNA, 1072 nt
Filed under: Xylaria cf. heliscus
Lineage: Eukaryota; Fungi; Ascomycota; Sordariomycetes; Xylariales; Xylariaceae
Description: eukaryotic LSU rRNA
Rfam family: Eukaryotic large subunit ribosomal RNA (bases 488-1072)
Source: RNAcentral